AGSMGAACAGAUAAGGAGCUUGCUCCUUUGACGUUAGCGGCGGMCKGGUGAGUAACACGUGGAUAACCUACCUAUAAGACUGGGAUWWYUUCGGGAAACCGGAGCUAAUACCGGAUAACAUAUUGAACCGCAUGGUUCAAUAGUGAAAGGCGGCUUUGCUGUCACUUAUAGAUGGAUCCGCGCCGUAUUAGCUAGUUGGUAAGGUAACGGCUUACCAAGGCAACGAUACGUAGCCGACCUGAGAGGGUGAUCGGCCACACUGGAACUGAGACACGGUCCAGACUCCUACGGGAGGCAGCAGUAGGGAAUCUUCCGCAAUGGGCGAAAGCCUGACGGAGCAACGCCGCGUGAGUGAUGAAGGUCUUCGGAUCGUAAAACUCUGUUAUCAGGGAAGAACAAAUGUGUAAGUAACUGUGCACAUCUUGACGGUACCUGAUCAGAAAGCCACGGCUAACUACGUGCCAGCAGCCGCGGUAAUACGUAGGUGGCAAGCGUUAUCCGGAAUUAUUGGGCGUAAAGCGCGCGUAGGCGGUUUUUUAAGUCUGAUGUGAAAGCCCACGGCUCAACCGUGGAGGGUCAUUGGAAACUGGAAAACUUGAGUGCAGAAGAGGAAAGUGGAAUUCCAUGUGUAGCGGUGAAAUGCGCAGAGAUAUGGAGGAACACCAGUGGCGAAGGCGACUUUCUGGUCUGUAACUGACGCUGAUGUGCGAAAGCGUGGGGAUCAAACAGGAUUAGAUACCCUGGUAGUCCACGCCGUAAACGAUGAGUGCUAAGUGUUAGGGGGUUUCCGCCCCUUAGUGCUGCAGCUAACGCAUUAAGCACUCCGCCUGGGGAGUACGACCGCAAGGUUGAAACUCAAAGGAAUUGACGGGGAMCCCGCACAAGCGGUGGAGCAUGUGGUUUAAUUCGAAGCAACGCGAAAGAACCUUACCAAAUCUUGACAUCCUUU
RNAcentral lists this ribosomal RNA (949 nucleotides) under Staphylococcus pasteuri. RNAcentral's name for it is "bacterial SSU rRNA". It matches the Rfam family "Bacterial small subunit ribosomal RNA", at positions 60 to 992 of the family's 1533-position model. Lineage: Bacteria; Bacillati; Bacillota; Bacilli; Caryophanales; Staphylococcaceae. The record is from RNAcentral.